AUGGCGGGCCAGUUUGCGAAGCCAAGGUCAGACCCUUUUGAGGAGAAGAACGGAGUGAAGCUGCCUAGUUACAGGGGUGAUAAUGUGAAUGGGGAUGCAUUUGAUGCUGCAUCGAGAAUUCCGGAUCCGCAGAGGAUGAUAAGAGCCUACACCCAAUCUGUGGCUACUCUGAACCUGUUGCGUGCAUUUGCCACCGGAGGUUAUGCUGCCAUGCAAAGGGUCAACCAAUGGAAUCUGGAUUUCAUGGAGCGUAGUGAGCAGGGAGACAGGCAUCUUUUCUAUCCCCUAAAAUCUCAAAUCAGGCCAUAUUUAAAAAUCUUAUUCUUAUAUGGUUAAACUUUAAUGUGGUUUGCGCUUGGGAUGGAUGUAUUUGAAAAUGCACUUUUUUCCCAUCUUGCUUAAAAGAUCAUGGAAACAAAAGGGUUAGAAUAAGUGGGAACGAAAUUGGAAGUAGUCUGAGAUUAUUUGCACUUAAUUUUAAUUCGGAAAAUGGCAUCUCGGGCACAAACAUAUGGGAAGAAAAAUCAGAAUAAAAAAGUAGAAACAAUAAAAGAUGGGAUGAUGUUCAUUAUGUUGUUCCAAUAUCUUCAACUUUCUUGUAGUGGUCCUCUACUAAUUUACAUCUCUGAUCUAAAGUGGUAGUUCAUGCAUUAGUACUUUUCUUUUUCGUGCUUUCUGCAAAUGAUAUACAGAACUACAGAUCAUUUUAAAUUGAAAAAGAGACUUUUUAUUCUUGAGAUUGUUCUCUCAGAAAGUUUUCAACAUCCUGUUACAUUAGUUCUUGUUUGGUGGUGUGGGGUUACAGGUAUCGUGAAUUGGCUCAUCGAGUCGAUGAGGCUCUUGGCUUCAUGAUUGCUGCCGGACUAACAUCGGAGCAUCCAAUCAUGACUACAACAGAGUUUUGGACUUCCCAUGAGUGUUUGCUUCUUCCUUAUGAACAAGCACUUACCAGGGAGGACUCUACUACCGGGCUUCAUUAUGAUUGCUCAGCUCACAUGCUCUGGGUUGGGGAACGCACCCGCCAACUGGAUGGUGCUCAUGUUGAAUUCCUGAGAGGAGUUGCAAAUCCACUUG
Molecule: long non-coding RNA, 1074 nt
Filed under: Arachis ipaensis
Lineage: Eukaryota; Viridiplantae; Streptophyta; Magnoliopsida; Fabales; Fabaceae
Description: long non-coding RNA (AIPA_LNC002394)
Source: RNAcentral